This 406-nucleotide RNase P RNA is filed under the name Limisphaerales bacterium. Its description in RNAcentral is "Verrucomicrobia subdivision 3 bacterium (hot springs metagenome) RNase P RNA component class A". It matches the Rfam family "Bacterial RNase P class A". From Rfam's summary of the family: Ribonuclease P (RNase P) is a ubiquitous endoribonuclease, found in archaea, bacteria and eukarya as well as chloroplasts and mitochondria. Its best characterised activity is the generation of mature 5'-ends of tRNAs by cleaving the 5'-leader elements of precursor-tRNAs. Lineage: Bacteria; Pseudomonadati; Verrucomicrobiota; Verrucomicrobiia; Limisphaerales. The record is from RNAcentral.
CCGAGAGGGCGGAGGUUCGCUCCCGGCUCCGACCGGGGGAGGAAAGUCCGAACUCCACAGGGCACGAUGCCGCAUAACCCGCACCUCGAGUGCGGGAUGCAUGCGGGCGGUUGCAUCGCGAGAUGCACCGACGGAUAGCGCCACAGAAAACAAACCGCCGGUUGCCAAGCGCAACCGGCAAGGGUGAAAAGGUGGGGUAAGAGCCCACCGCUCCAAGCGCAAGCGAGGAGGCACGGCAAGCCCCAUCGGGAGCAAGGCCAAAUAGGGGACCAAUGGCGUGGCCCGCGCCGUGUGCCGGAUCACACCGACCGAGGUCCCGGGUAGGGCCGCAAAGACAAAUGAACCUCUCCGUCGGCGCCAUCGGCGCCGGCGCAGACAGAAUUCGGCUUACAGCCUUCUCGGAGCG